UACAGAGGGUGCGAGCGUUAAUCGGAAUUACUGGGCGUAAAGCGUGCGUAGACGGUUAUUUAAGUCGGAUGUGAAAGCCCCGGGCUCAACCUGGGAAUUGCAUUCGAGACUGAAUAGCUAGGGUACGGUAGAGGGAAGCGGAAUUUCCGGUGUAGCGGUGAAAUGCGUAGAUAUCGGAAGGAACAUCAGUGGCGAAAGCGACUUCCUGGACACCAACUGACGCUGAGACGCGAAAGCGUGGGGAGCAAACAGG
Molecule: ribosomal RNA, 253 nt
Filed under: uncultured bacterium
Lineage: Bacteria
Description: partial 16S ribosomal RNA
Rfam family: Bacterial small subunit ribosomal RNA
Source: RNAcentral